This 626-nucleotide long non-coding RNA is filed under the name Monodon monoceros (narwhal). RNAcentral's name for it is "lncRNA (ENSMMNG00015016092.1)". The record is from RNAcentral. Lineage: Eukaryota; Metazoa; Chordata; Mammalia; Artiodactyla; Monodontidae.
GCGGGGUGUGGGUUCCGUCCACCCCAGGGCGGCGCGGUGCACGCCGGGAGUCGGAGGCGCCACGGGGCCUGCAUCCCGGCGGCCCCGGGCGGCGCAGUGCACGCCGGGAAUUGGAGUCCCGCCGGCCCGGCCUGACCUGUUGCUGCCUCCCUGGGCGGGUGUCCCGGGGGCUGAGGACAGGGACGGGGAUGGCGCGGCCUGGACGGGGAUGGCGCGGCCAGGCCGGGGCGCCUGCGCAGACGGCCGGGGCCGGCGACAAGCUGGGGAAAGCGGGGAGUAUGCAUAAGCUUAAAUCAUCUCAGAAGGACGAGGUCCACCAGCUCAUGGCAUUCACUCAGGCUGGUGAGAGAACUGCCAUCUGGCGCUCAGCCCAAAGUGAGUGGAAACUGGACGCGCCACGGACAGCUUCUUCCAGAACCCGGCCUCGUUCCACAAGGACUCCAUGCGAACCUCCGUGGACAGGAAGACGCUGGAGCCGCUGUAUAACUGGUACAAAGGUAGGGGCGCAGUGGCGAGUGCGUCCGUCUCCAGGGAGCAGGUGGCUGUGCUGGAGCCUCCGUGCUGCAUCCCAGGCCCCCGACGUGCAUUCCCUUCCCGUGCAGACGUUCAGCUGCACAAAAGUCUGA